AGAAUGGUGAGUAACGAGGAUGAAAGGGAUUUGCAUGGGGGGUUUCAGAGCAGUUUGAGGAAGGCCUUCAGUGGUUUCAGAAUAAUUCAAAGAGAGUUAAAGGAGUUCGAUGUGGAAGGGCUGGUGGUGGUUGUUUUGGGAGAUCAAUGAGGCCUUCAGGACGGGUUCAAUACGAAGGACGCUAUUUUGAAUUUGUUCUAAAGUUCACUAGUUACACUUGAAAAUCCGAUGGCAUACAUUUAAAGGAGUUUUAAGCUAAAGGAGCUUUAGGCUAUAUUUUAUAAUCCUUGGUAGUCUCUAAUGUGGUCUGAGCCUAUUUUCUUGCUAGUCGUUCAUCAGGUUACCAAUUAAAUGUGUCGCAUCCAUGGGUAUGAUUCACCCUUAUUUUGACCACGAGACACCCGGAACCGAUUCAAGAAUACUAAUGGUAGUGUUGAAUGUGUUCUGGUGGGACAGCCGGAGCCGAAUGCAUGACACAAACGGUUGUCUCGAAUAUGGACUAAGACAAUUUCCUGUUUAAUUGAUCAUCAGAUUAUCUAAGAAGUCGCGAAUGGAUGUGUAGCAUGUAUGGGUGUUGACUUUUGACCAAUUCCGGUGAGACACCCGGAACCAGUUCCAUAUCACUACCGGUAGUUUCUAAUGUGAUCCGAGGCUAUUUUCUUGCUAAUUUCCUUGACUUCCUUGAGCUUGGAGCUUGGAGUAUCUUCGUACUUGCCACACGAUAUACACAUGAAAAGUUGUCAUUUGCAGAGGAAGUUCACAGUCAAUAACUGUUGGGAGUGCUAAUUGAACACUAGCUGAGAAGCUGGCUUUGCUCUAGUAAAGAAGUUACGCCAAGAAGAAGACGAAAAAAAAGAACCUGCAAGCGCUUUUGAUUAUAAGAUUAUCAAAGUAGCCGCUAUUCUAUGUGUGGUUUGGUUCCCUUCUACAGUUUACCGCUUCCACCCACCGAGACAACCGGAACCGGUUCCGGAACACUACUGGUAGUCUCCAAUGUGUUCUAAGCCUAUUUUAUUGAUACAGUCCCGAUUCGUUCGUUGGCGGCUCGUUAGAUGGGCUGUCUCGAUGGUUGGAUGUUCGCUGGUUGGGGCAAAACCCAACUAAAAAGCACUGUCAAUGUCAAAAUCGAUGUCAAAACGAGUUUGACGUCUGACCGUCGUCGCAUCGCAGCUCCUGUAUACAGACCGUUUGCGCAAGUAUGUGAGUGUUUCGUGACGUAUUUCUCGUCACUUGCGUGUGUCUAGAGCAUUUUGAUUAGUUGUCAGUUGCCCCAACGAACGAACACGAUUCGCUAAUCGGAGCGCAGUCGUGAUCCAACGAGUGAAUCCUUACUGUAACUGGUCAUCACGUUAUCAAAAUGCUUUGAUUCGGUGUGUCACAUUUAUGGGUUUGGUUUAGUGUUAUUUUUGACUACCUACGAUGGGACAUCCGGAACCGUUUCCGGGACACAAUCGGUUGUCCCAAAUAUGGUCUUGCACUAUUCAUAUGCAUACUGUUCGUCACGCGUCCUAAAAAGCUGGUAUCUGAGGUGUCGCAUGCAUGGGUUCGGUCCAAUUUUGUAUUUGACCACUUCCGCCGGGACACCCGGAACUGAUUCCAGGAUACUACUUGUUGCCGCUGGCAGCCCUGCCUCAAACGAGCUGUCGGCGAACCCCUCUCAGCUAAACCGCGAAGCUGAUCUGCCAAUCGCGAAUAUGACAGAACGAGAACGUGGGACAAUGACUAAUCCGAUUUUGACGAGAUCAAUGGUGAACAGUGGCAAAUCGUGCAACCAAUAAUUGAAAUCGAAUCCCAGCUCUCAUUUGUGAAACUUUUCUCUUGUUUUCGAACAUUUAUUACUGCAUCUCAUUCACUAAUUUUUCCUGAAGGGGUUAAAACUUAAGGUCUAAAGUUGAUCUCUAAAACAACAUUUCUUCCUAAAAUUUACAUCACGAUUUAUAGUUGGAGUCAGGCUAGCUGAAUCGGGUCGAGCAGUGGUUAUUUAAUCGCGCACAAACACUGAAUGUGUAAGUAGGCAUGCAUAUGUAACCUCAAACAUGUUAUAACUACAUCAUAAACUCAAUACAUUUCAGUUUAAAACUGUACUGCACCAACAGUCGUGUUUUUUGUGCUGCUAAGAACGCAGUGUCUCGUGCCUAUCUCUGCUCCCCGUCAACUUGUUUUCCCAAGUAUGUUUUGAGAUUUUUUUUUUCUUGUUAACUGUUCAUCAGGAUACCUAAAAGCCAUUUGAUGUGUCACGAAUACUAGUUUAGUUCACUGUAAAAGUAAAGACCACUUUCAGCGAGACACCCGGAACCAGUUCCAGAACACAACCCGUUGUCCCAAAUAUGGUCUGCAACGAUUUAUUGCCAACUGUUAUCGGGUUAUCUAAACAGCCGCAAAUUCACGUGUCGCAUGCAUGGUUUUGGUUCACUAUUUUAUUUGGACACUUCCGGCGGGACAUCCGGAACCGGUUCCGGAACACUACUGGUUCAAAUAUAGUAUGAUACUAUUUUCUUGCUAAUUUCAUAAGCCUAUCAAAACAGCAGCGCUGUGAUGCAUGGCUUUUGGUUCAAUUUUACAUUCCGCCUCUUUCAGAGGGACAGCCGAAGCAGGCUCCGGCACUGCCGGCAGUCCCUAAUGUGGUCUUAGCCUACUUCCUUGAUAACUGGUCAUUAGGUUAUUCGAAAGGCCGUGAAUUGAUGUGUCGCAUGCAUAGGUUUGGUUCACUUUCAUAUUUGGCCACAUCCAGCGGGACAUCCGGAACCGGUUCUGGAACAUUACUGGUUCAGAUAUAUGGUCUUGAGGGAAAUUUGUGCAUAAAUUAAGUUUAAGCUUCAAUGAGGAAAUCUAGUUCGUGAGAACAGAUCCUGCUCCUGGGAAUUUGAGGCGCGGCUAAAGGGGUUUCCAUAAAGUUUCCGGAGAGCCCAGAAAAGGGAGUUUCAAGGGGCUUCAGGGGCGCUUCAGGGGGUUGUUUCAGGGGAUUUAGGGUGCCUUUUAAGGGCGCUUUGACAGGUUUUGAUGGCGUUGACAUGGGAUUACGGGAAAUUCAGGGCCAUUUGGGGUUUCAGGGACGUUUCAAGGUGCUUUAAGGGCAAUUCAGGGGAUCUCAGGAGCCUUUAAAAGGCGUUACAAGGGGUUUGAGGGGCGUUUCACGACAUUUCAGAGUAAUUUCAGAGAAUUUCUGGAGGUUUCAGGAGAAUUUUAAGGGCGUUCCUAGAGAUUUUAGGGGAGUAUGAUAGCAUUUCAGGGGCCUUUAGGGGUAUUUCCGGUCAGAGUCGUAUAAGGGAGUUUAAAGAACAUCUUUAAAUAAAAUAGCGUUUCAGGGACAUUUCAAAGGACUUUGGGAUGGGGUCCCUGAAAAUCCUCUGCAACUUCCUAUAACACCUCAAAGACCUCCUAAAACCCUCUCAAACCACCUGUAACGCACCUGAGAUGAUCAGAAACUCCCUUAAAUUCUUCCGUAAUGCCUCUGAAUUCCGCCGAAAACGAUCUGAAACAUCCUGAAAUGCCUCCAAAACCCCCUUAUACCACCACGGACCCCAUGUAACGCACCUGACACGCUCCGAAACCGCCGAAAACUCCUCCGUAACGCUUUCGUAACGCCUCUGUAUCCCGCCAGAAAUCCUCUGAAAUAUCCUGAAAUGCCUCCAAAAUCUCCCUUAAACAACCACCAUGUAACGCAUCUGAGACGCUCCGAAAUCCCCGAAAACUCCUCCGUAACGUUUUAGAACGCCUCUGAAUCCCACCGGAAAUCCUCUGAAACAUCUUGAAAUGCCUCCAAAAUCCCCCUUAG
This is a long non-coding RNA of Aedes albopictus (Asian tiger mosquito), 3775 nucleotides long. RefSeq lists it as uncharacterized. The transcript is spliced from 3 exons. The record is from RefSeq and is a predicted model, not a curated record. Lineage: Eukaryota; Metazoa; Arthropoda; Insecta; Diptera; Culicidae.